This 75-nucleotide transfer RNA is filed under the name Nitrososphaerota archaeon. Its description in RNAcentral is "tRNA-Ile". It matches the Rfam family "tRNA". Rfam says of the family: Transfer RNA (tRNA) molecules are approximately 80 nucleotides in length. Lineage: Archaea; Thermoproteati; Nitrososphaerota. RNAcentral also lists the same sequence under 1 other name. The record is from RNAcentral.
GGGCCGGUAGCUCAGCAUGGUUAGAGCGCGUGACUGAUAAUCACGAGGUCGCCGGUUCAAAUCCGGUCCGGCCCA